GAACUGAAGAGUUUGAUCAUGGCUCAGAUUGAACGCUGGCGGCAGGCCUAACACAUGCAAGUCGAGCGGAUGAAGGGAGCUUGCUCCUGGAUUCAGCGGCGGACGGGUGAGUAAUGCCUAGGAAUCUGCCUGGUAGUGGGGGAUAACGUCCGGAAACGGGCGCUAAUACCGCAUACGUCCUGAGGGAGAAAGUGGGGGAUCUUCGGACCUCACGCUAUCAGAUGAGCCUAGGUCGGAUUAGCUAGUUGGUGGGGUAAAGGCCUACCAAGGCGACGAUCCGUAACUGGUCUGAGAGGAUGAUCAGUCACACUGGAACUGAGACACGGUCCAGACUCCUACGGGAGGCAGCAGUGGGGAAUAUUGGACAAUGGGCGAAAGCCUGAUCCAGCCAUGCCGCGUGUGUGAAGAAGGUCUUCGGAUUGUAAAGCACUUUAAGUUGGGAGGAAGGGCAGUAAGUUAAUACCUUGCUGUUUUGA
RNAcentral lists this ribosomal RNA (476 nucleotides) under Pseudomonas aeruginosa. RNAcentral describes it as "bacterial SSU rRNA". It matches the Rfam family "Bacterial small subunit ribosomal RNA", at positions 1 to 472 of the family's 1533-position model. The record is from RNAcentral. Lineage: Bacteria; Pseudomonadati; Pseudomonadota; Gammaproteobacteria; Pseudomonadales; Pseudomonadaceae.